Molecule: RNA transcript, 1771 nt
Organism: Zalophus californianus (California sea lion)
Lineage: Eukaryota; Metazoa; Chordata; Mammalia; Carnivora; Otariidae
Gene: SIRT7
Gene name: sirtuin 7
Exons: 11
Source: RefSeq, a predicted model, not a curated record
GCGGAAGCGGAAGCGCGGAUCUCCCGGGAGCGAUGGCAGCCGGGGGUCCCAGCCGCUCGGAGCGCAAGGCGGCGGAGCGGGUCCGGAGGCUGCGGGAGGAGCAGCAGCGGGAGCGCCUCCGCCAGGUGUCGCGCAUCCUGAGGAAAGCGGCGGCCGAGCGCAGCGCCGAGGAGGGCCGGCUCCUGGCCGAGAGCGAGGACCUGGUGACCGAGCUGCAGGGCCGGAGCAGGCGGCGCGAGGGCCUGAAGCGGCGGCAGGAGGAGGUGUGCGACGACCCGGAGGAGCUGCGGAGGAAAGUCCGGGAGCUGGCCGGCGCUGUCCGAAACGCCAAGUACCUGGUGGUCUACACCGGCGCAGGGAUCAGCACGGCAGCCUCUAUUCCAGAUUACCGGGGCCCUAAUGGAGUGUGGACACUGCUUCAGAAAGGGAGAAGCGUUAGUGCUGCUGACCUGAGUGAGGCUGAGCCAACCCUCACCCACAUGAGCAUCGCCCGCCUACACGAGCAAAAGCUGGUGCAGCAUGUGGUGUCUCAGAACUGCGAUGGCCUCCACCUGCGGAGUGGUCUGCCUCGCACGGCCAUCUCCGAGCUCCAUGGGAACAUGUACAUUGAAGUCUGUACAGCCUGCACUCCCAACAGGGAGUACGUGAGGGUGUUUGACGUGACCGAGCGCACCGCCCUGCACCGGCACCAGACGGGCCGGGCCUGCCACAAGUGCGGGGCCCAGCUCCGGGACACCAUUGUGCACUUUGGGGAGAGGGGGACGCUGGGGCAGCCUCUGAACUGGGAGGCAGCCACUCAGGCUGCCAGCAAAGCCGACACAAUCCUAUGUUUAGGUUCCAGUUUAAAGGUUCUGAAGAAGUAUCCUCGUCUCUGGUGCAUGACCAAGCCCCCCAGCCGGCGGCCCAAGCUCUACAUUGUGAACUUGCAGUGGACCCCAAAGGAUGACUGGGCUGCCCUGAAGCUUCACGGGAAGUGUGAUGACGUCAUGCAGCUCCUCAUGGAUGAGCUGGGCCUGGAGAUUCCCCCCUAUAGCAGGGUCUUAUAGGGGAAAUCAAUAACUUCUUUUAAUCAAAGGGUUCAAGAAUUAAGGAUCCCUUCACCUUCUGGGCCUGGCAAUUCUUGUGGCAGGACCCCAUCUUCUCCCUGGCGACUCCCCUAUGUGCAGGUGAAGAAGGGAGCCACACACGGAAAUCGCUGUGCAGAAGCCGGGAAGAGCCCCCGCCUGGAGACCGGGGUGCACCACUUAGCUCAGCCCCCGUCCUAGGUGGCUGGUUUGGCAAGGGCUGCACUAAACGCACAAAAAGAAAGAAAACGUAACCUGGUGCUGGACAAGAACAAUUGGCACUUUGCAGAUGAUGGAACUCUGAUUCAGGGGCAAGGCCAGGACUGCCCCCUGGUCCUGUGAGCAUCCUCCCGGGAGGACUGCUUAGCCCUUGGUCCUAGCGGGAGCCCCUUGCACUGUUGUGGCCGCCUCGAGCAUGGGCCUUCGGAGGACACCUGGCCUGUCCAGCCUCUUCUUAGAGAGGUGGCAGCCAUGCCUUUGUGCGAGAACAGAACUCGGGUUAUUUCACAACUGGCCAGUCAGGAGGAAGCACACGGCUGCCUUUCCUCCUUCACCGGGCUAGUCUCAGGGGCCUCAAGCCUAUUUCUACUGCUUCUUACUAAAACACGGUGACUUUAUAGCAACUUUUUCUGAAUUGGGCUUGCGGCAGAGGGGUGGUUUUGAGCCUGGGCUCUCAGCAGGCCUUUUUGUUAUUAAACGUCUUUGCA